GAUGAACGCUGGCGGCGUGCCUAAUACAUGCAAGUCGAGCGAACAGAUGAGGAGCUUGCUCCUCUGACGUUAGCGGCGGACGGGUGAGUAACACGUGGAUAACCUACCUAUAAGACUGGGAUAACUUCGGGAAACCGGAGCUAAUACCGGAUAAUAUAUUGAACCGCAUGGUUCAAUAGUGAAAGACGGUUUUGCUGUCACUUAUAGAUGGAUCCGCGCCGCAUUAGCUAGUUGGUAAGGUAACGGCUUACCAAGGCAACGAUGCGUAGCCGACCUGAGAGGGGGAGGGGCACCACGGGAGAGGAGACCGGGCCAAGCUCCCACGGGGAGGCGGCAGAGGGGAAUCCGCCGGAAAGGGGGAAAGCCUGACGGGGCAACGGCGGGGGAGUGAUGAAGGUCUUCGGCGCGUAAAACGCUUUUAUAGGGGAAGAAAAAAUGUUUAAUUAACUAGGACCGUUUGAAGGGAACCUAAGAAGAAGGCCCGGCCAAAUCUGUG
This 496-nucleotide ribosomal RNA is filed under the name uncultured bacterium. Its description in RNAcentral is "partial 16S ribosomal RNA". It matches the Rfam family "Bacterial small subunit ribosomal RNA", at positions 28 to 507 of the family's 1533-position model. The record is from RNAcentral.